RNAcentral lists this ribosomal RNA (253 nucleotides) under uncultured bacterium. RNAcentral describes it as "partial 16S ribosomal RNA". It matches the Rfam family "Bacterial small subunit ribosomal RNA", at positions 524 to 776 of the family's 1533-position model. The record is from RNAcentral.
UACGGAGGGUGCAAGCGCUGCUCGGAAUUAUUGGGCGUAAAGGGUAGGUAGGUGGUCUCAUUUGUCUGGGGUGAAAGCCUUGAGCUUAACUCAAGAAGUGCCCCAGAAACGGUGAGACUGGAGUCCUGGAGAGGGUCGUGGAAUUCCCGGUGUAGCGGUGAAAUGCGUAGAGAUCGGGAGGAACACCAGAGGCGAAAGCGGCGACCUGGACAGGCACUGACACUCAACUACGAAAGCGUGGGGAGCAAACAGG